GGAAAUGUGUGCCCAAAGAGCUGUUGCUUAUUUCACAGAGCAGAUUGAACCUCAACUUUUGAAUGGGAAAAAUGUGAUGAUUGCUGCACAUGGGAAUUCAUUGAGGUCCAUUAUCAUGUAUCUUGACAAGCUGACUUCGCAGGAGGUAAUCAGCCUUGAGUUGUCGACUGGAAUUCCUAUGCUCUAUAUAUUCAAAGAAGGAAAGUUCAUCAGGAGAGGAAGUCCUGUGGCACCUUCUGAGGCUGGUGUUUAUGCUUAUACUAGGGGCUUAGCUCUUUACAGACAGAAGUUAGAUGAGGCCGCAAACUGAUUAUACAUUUAAAUAGAUAUAUGCAA
This 336-nucleotide unclassified non-coding RNA is filed under the name Hevea brasiliensis (rubber tree). Lineage: Eukaryota; Viridiplantae; Streptophyta; Magnoliopsida; Malpighiales; Euphorbiaceae. The record is from RNAcentral.